This 818-nucleotide ribosomal RNA is filed under the name Brachybacterium sp. YXWBB10. Its description in RNAcentral is "bacterial SSU rRNA". It matches the Rfam family "Bacterial small subunit ribosomal RNA", at positions 372 to 1204 of the family's 1533-position model. The record is from RNAcentral. Lineage: Bacteria; Bacillati; Actinomycetota; Actinomycetes; Micrococcales; Dermabacteraceae.
UGGGCGAAGCCUGAUGCAGCGACGCCGCGUGGGGGAUGACGGCCUUCGGGUUGUAAACCCCUUUCAGUAGGGAAGAAGCGAGAGUGACGGUACCUGCAGAAGAAGCGCCGGCUAACUACGUGCCAGCAGCCGCGGUAAUACGUAGGGCGCAAGCGUUGUCCGGAAUUAUUGGGCGUAAAGAGCUUGUAGGUGGCUUGUCGCGUCUGCCGUGAAAACCCGAGGCUCAACCUCGGGCGUGCGGUGGGUACGGGCAGGCUAGAGUGUGGUAGGGGAGACUGGAACUCCUGGUGUAGCGGUGAAAUGCGCAGAUAUCAGGAAGAACACCGAUGGCGAAGGCAGGUCUCUGGGCCAUUACUGACACUGAGAAGCGAAAGCAUGGGUAGCGAACAGGAUUAGAUACCCUGGUAGUCCAUGCCGUAAACGUUGGGCACUAGGUGUGGGGGACAUUCCACGUUUUCCGCGCCGUAGCUAACGCAUUAAGUGCCCCGCCUGGGGAGUACGGCCGCAAGGCUAAAACUCAAAGGAAUUGACGGGGGCCCGCACAAGCGGCGGAGCAUGCUGAUUAAUUCGAUGCAACGCGAAGAACCUUACCAAGGCUUGACAUGCACUGGACGGCUGCAGAGAUGUGGCUUUCUUUGGACUGGUGCACAGGUGGUGCAUGGUUGUCGUCAGCUCGUGUCGUGAGAUGUUGGGUUAAGUCCCGCAACGAGCGCAACCCUUGUUCUAUGUUGCCAGCACGUGAUGGUGGGGACUCAUAGGAGACUGCCGGGGUCAACUCGGAGGAAGGUGGGGACGACGUCAAAUCAUCAUGCCCCUUA